This 499-nucleotide ribosomal RNA is filed under the name uncultured bacterium. Its description in RNAcentral is "partial 16S ribosomal RNA". It matches the Rfam family "Bacterial small subunit ribosomal RNA", at positions 28 to 523 of the family's 1533-position model. The record is from RNAcentral.
GAUGAACGCUAGCGGCAGGCUUAAUACUUGCAAGUCGUGGGGCAGCAUGAGUAGCAAUACUUGAUGGCGACCGGCAAACGGGUGCGGAACACGUACACAACCUUCCGAUAAGUGGGGAAUAGCCCAGAGAAAUUUGGAUUAAUACCCCGUAACAUAUAGAGUAGGCAUCUUCUUUAUAUUAUAGCUUCGGCGCUCAUUGAUGGGUGUGCGUCUGAUUAGGUAGUUGGCGGGGUAACGGCCCACCAAGCCUACGAUCAGUAGCUGAUGUGAGAGCAUGAUCAGCCACACGGGCACUGAGACACGGGCCCGACUCCUACGGGAGGCAGCAGUAAGGAAUAUUGGACAAUGGGCGAAAGCCUGAUCCAGCCAUGCCGCGUGAAGGAUUAAGGUCCUCUGGAUUGUAAACUUCUUUUAUUUGGGACGAAAAAAGGGAAUUCUUUCCACUUGACGGUACCAAGUGAAUAAGCACCGGCUAACUCCGUGCCAGCCGCCGCAGUAA